Molecule: ribosomal RNA, 440 nt
Filed under: uncultured bacterium
Lineage: Bacteria
Description: partial 16S ribosomal RNA
Rfam family: Bacterial small subunit ribosomal RNA
Source: RNAcentral
CCUACGGGAGGCUGCAGUGGGGGAUAUUGCACAAUGGGGGAAACCCUGAUGCAGCGACGCCGCGUGUGGGAAGACGGUCCUCUGGAUUGUAAACCACUGUCCCCAGGGACGAAGAUGACGGUACCUGGGGAGGAAGCUCCGGCUAACUACGUGCCAGCAGCCGCGGUAAUACGUAGGGAGCGAGCGUUUUCCGGAAUUACUGGGUGUAAAGGGAGCGUAGGCGGGACUGGAAGUUUGGGGUCAAAUCUACCGGCUCAACCGGUAGCCGCACUCAAAACUGCAGUUCUUGAGUGAAGGAGAGGCAGGCGGAAGUCCUGGUGUAGCGGUGAAAUGCGUAGAUAUUAGGAGGAACACCAGUGGCGAAGGCGGCGUGCUGGGCUUUUACUGACGCUGAGGCUCGAAAGUGUGGGGAGCGAACAGGAUUAGAUACCCGAGUAGUC